AACGCUAGCUACAGGCUUAACACAUGCAAGUCGCGGGGCAGCAUGAAUUUAGCUUGCUAAAUUUGAUGGCGACCGGCGCACGGGUGAGUAACGCGUAUCCAACCUUCCCCUGUCCACGGGAUAGCCCGUCGAAAGGCGGAUUAAUACCGUAUGAGGUCACACGAUGGCAUCAGACUGUGACGAAAGGUUUUGCGGACAGGGAUGGGGAUGCGUCCGAUUAGCUUGUUGGCGGGGUAACGGCCCACCAAGGCUACGAUCGGUAGGGGUUCUGAGAGGAAGGUCCCCCACAUUGGAACUGAGACACGGUCCAAACUCCUACGGGAGGCAGCAGUGAGGAAUAUUGGUCAAUGGACGUAAGUCUGAACCAGCCAAGUAGCGUGCAGGAUGACGGCCCUAUGGGUUGUAAACUGCUUUUAUGCGGGGAUAAAGUGAGGGACGUGUCCCUUUUUGUAGGUACCGCAUGAAUAAGGACCGGCUAAUUCCGUGCCAGCAGCCGCGGUAAUACGGAAGGUCCGGGCGUUAUCCGGAUUUAUUGGGUUUAAAGGGAGCGUAGGCCGCUGUUUAAGCGUGUUGUGAAAAACCGGGGCUCAACUCCGGUCGUGCAGCGCGAACUGGACGGCUUGAGUGCGCGGUAAGUGGGCGGAAUUUGUGGUGUAGCGGUGAAAUGCUUAGAUAUCACGAAGAACUCCGAUUG
RNAcentral lists this ribosomal RNA (694 nucleotides) under uncultured bacterium. Its description in RNAcentral is "bacterial SSU rRNA". It matches the Rfam family "Bacterial small subunit ribosomal RNA", at positions 32 to 715 of the family's 1533-position model. The record is from RNAcentral.